GCCGGUGUGUUGGAAUUGGCAGACGAGGAGGACUCAAAAUCCUUUGGCAGCGAUGUCGUGCGGGUUCGAGUCCCGCCACCGGCACCA
This 87-nucleotide transfer RNA is filed under the name Clostridia bacterium. Its description in RNAcentral is "tRNA-Leu". It matches the Rfam family "tRNA". Rfam says of the family: Transfer RNA (tRNA) molecules are approximately 80 nucleotides in length. Their secondary structure includes four short double-helical elements and three loops (D, anti-codon, and T loops). Further hydrogen bonds mediate the characteristic L-shaped molecular structure. tRNAs have two regions of fundamental functional importance: the anti-codon, which is responsible for specific mRNA codon recognition, and the 3' end, to which the tRNAs corresponding amino acid is attached (by aminoacyl-tRNA synthetases). tRNAs cope with the degeneracy of the genetic code in two manners: having more than one tRNA (with a specific anti-codon) for a particular amino acid; and 'wobble' base-pairing, i.e. permitting non-standard base-pairing at the 3rd anti-codon position. The record is from RNAcentral. Lineage: Bacteria; Bacillati; Bacillota; Clostridia.